AACGAACGCUGGCGGCAGGCCUCAUACAUGCAAGUCGAGCGAUUAAGACUCCUUCGGGAGUGUAUAAAGCGGCGAACGGGUGAGUAACAGGUGGAUGAUCUACCUUCCGGUGGGGGAUAACGGCUGGAAACGGCCGCUAAUACCGCAUUCGGUUAAUACGCUGUGGCGUAUUAAAGAAAGGCGCCUCAAAGCGCCGCCGGGAGAUGAGUCCGCCCCCCAUUAGCUAGUUGGUGAGAUAACAGCUCACCAAGGCAACGAUGGGUAGCCGAACUGAGAGGUUGAUCGGCCACACUGGAACUGAGACACGGUCCAGACACCUACGGGUGGCAGCAGUAGGGAAUAUUGGGCAAUGGGCGAAAGCCUGACCCAGCCAUGCCGCGUGAGUGAUGAAGGUCCUAGAGAUUGUAAAAACUCUUUUCUGAGGAAAGAAAUGAAUAGGGAAGGAAAUGUCCUUAUUUUGACGGUAACCUCAGGAAUAAGGAACGGCUAACCCGUGCCAGCAGCCGCGGU
This 510-nucleotide ribosomal RNA is filed under the name uncultured bacterium. RNAcentral describes it as "bacterial SSU rRNA". It matches the Rfam family "Bacterial small subunit ribosomal RNA", at positions 29 to 521 of the family's 1533-position model. The record is from RNAcentral.